RNAcentral lists this unclassified non-coding RNA (1667 nucleotides) under Pomacea canaliculata. RNAcentral's name for it is "fGGY carbohydrate kinase domain-containing protein- like, transcript variant X5". The record is from RNAcentral. Lineage: Eukaryota; Metazoa; Mollusca; Gastropoda; Architaenioglossa; Ampullariidae.
UGCUUUGUCCUCCCCAACUGUGUUUAGGUAGAUGCUGCGCAUUAUAAUUGCCGGCUACCUGGGAAACACCAAACAGAAAAACCCGCUCACCUGCAAGCUGUUUGCCCGAUAUGUAGUGUGUGGAUCAAAUAUAAUGGAGAUGGACAUGGCCUACUACAUUGGUGUAGAUGUAGGAACUGCUAGUGUAAGAGCAGCUUUGGUGUGUGAGAAAGGCAGCAUACUUGAGACAUCUGAGGAACCUAUUAUUGUCUGGAACCAGCAGCCAUCAUUUUAUGAGCAGUCAUCAGAGAAUAUUUGGAAAGCAGUUAUUACAGUUGUCAAUGAUGUCAUGUCACAAAGUAAAAUAUCGCCAGACCAGGUGAAAGGACUAGGAUUUGAUGCCACCUGUUCUUUGGUCGCCUUAGAUUCAGAUUUUAAGCCAAUUUCAUGCAGUUUAUCAGGUAAAGCAGACUGUAACAUAAUCAUGUGGAUGGACCACCGUGCAGAGGACCAAGCUCAAAGAAUAAAUGCUACAAAGCAUUCUGUACUGAGAUAUGUUGGCGGUACCAUGUCACUUGAAAUGCAGCCACCAAAACUGCUAUGGCUGAAAGAGAGGUUACCUGCUCAGUGGAACAAGAUGGCCAACCUGUUUGACCUGCCUGAUUACCUGACUUGGCGAGCUACAGACAGCCAAACAAGGUCUCUGUGUUCACUUGUGUGUAAGUGGGGCUAUGAAGCACAAACAGCUGACAAACAUGGGUGGAAUGAUGAAUUUCUUGCAGCAGCUGGUCUUGAAGAGCUGUCGUUGAAUGGACACUGCAGAAUUGGACAGCAGGCCCUGUAUCCAGGGGAGUGCUGUGGGUCAGGUCUGACUGCUCUGGCAGCCAAAGAACUUGGCUUAGUGCAAGGAACACCUGUAGGUGCAUCUCUUAUAGAUGCUCAUGCAGGUGGAAUGGCAUGCUUAGCAUGUGUUCCUGCUAGUCUGCCAUUUCAGAUGCCUCCUUUGACAUCAAGGUUGGUGCUUGUAUGUGGAACCUCAACUUGUCAUAUGAUGGUGAGUAACAGCCCUAUCUUUGUUCCGGGUGUGUGGGGACCUUACUUCUCGGCAAUGAUGCCAAAAUUGUGGGCAUCAGAAGGAGGUCAGAGUGCUACAGGCAAACUGAUAGAUUUUAUGGUUGAGAACCAUCCGGCAUAUUUAGCAGCAAAAUCUGCCGCAGAAGAAAGGAAUAUCCACCUGUAUGAAUACCUAAACACCAUGCUGGAGCAUCAGGCUCAUUUGAAGGGAGUCACAGUUGCACAUCUUACUGCUGACUUACACGUCUAUCCAGAUUUCCAUGGAAACCGCUCACCUCUUGCAGAUCCCAGCAUGAAGGGAAUGAUUUGUGGCUUGACAUUAUCAGUGGAUGUAGAUAAUCUGGCUAUUGUCUACCUGUCAACAAUCCAGGCUCUAACGGUGAUCAGAUUGAAAUCGGUACGGAACAAAGCACAUAAUCAGCGAGAUGAGAAAUAGCGGGCACAACAUUCAGUUGUUGUAUUUAUGUGGUGGGCUACGGAAAAACAGGCUGUUUGUUCAGACACAUGCCGAUGUACUUGGUCUCCCAGUUAUCUUGCCAGACACAAAGGAAUCUGUACUUCUUGGUGCAGCCAUACUUGGAGCUUGUGCUUCAGGCAAUUUUAAAAGCAUUCAG